UUGGAGGGCAAGUCUGGUGCCAGCAGCCGCGGUAAUUCCAGCUCCAAUAGCGUAUAUUAAAGUUGUUGCAGUUAAAAAGCUCGUAGUUGAAUUUCGGGAUCAAUGGAUUGGUCAUGCCGUUGGUAUGUACUGAUUUUAUUGAUUCUCACCUUCUAAAGAGUCAUAAUGCCAUUAAUUUGGUGUUGUGAGGAAUUAGGACUGUUACCUUGAAAAAAUUAGAGUGUUUAAAGCAGGCUUACGCUUGAAUACAUUAGCAUGGAAUAACGAAAUAGGACAUCGCAUUCUAUUUUGUUGGUUUCUAGGAUCGAUGUAAUGAUUAAUAGGGAUAGUUGGGGGCAUUAGUAUUCAAUUGUCAGAGGUGAAAUUCUUGGAUUUAUUGAAGACUAACUACUGCGAAAGCAUUUGCCAAGGAUGUUUUCAUUAAUCAAGAACGAAAGUUAGGGGAUCGAAGACGAUCAGAUACCGUCGUAGUCUUAACCAUAAACUAUGCCGACUAGGGAUCGGAUGAUGUUAAUUUUUUAAUGACUCAUUCGGCACCUUACGGGAAAC
RNAcentral lists this ribosomal RNA (549 nucleotides) under uncultured Glomus. RNAcentral's name for it is "SSU rRNA". It matches the Rfam family "Eukaryotic small subunit ribosomal RNA", at positions 548 to 1098 of the family's 1831-position model. The record is from RNAcentral. Lineage: Eukaryota; Fungi; Glomeromycota; Glomeromycetes; Glomerales; Glomeraceae.